AAGAGUGUUGACGGAUCGAAAGAUGAAGAUGGAGCGAGCGGGUAAGCGUCUGUUGCGGAAGGAUAAUAAACUAUGAGGGUGUCAGGAGUGACUUCCCGGUUCUCGAAAAUGGCGGUAGAGAAGAUCGUGCUGGCAGGUGUCAGGGCGUCGUAAACGCAAAAGCGGCUUAUCCAUAGUUCCCUAGUGUGCGGGGGUAGGCAGGGUUUAUUACCAAUGCACACAUACA
Molecule: non-coding RNA, 226 nt
Filed under: unclassified sequences
Description: Clostridiales-3 RNA
Rfam family: Clostridiales-3 RNA
Source: Rfam by way of RNAcentral